GUGAACAUACCUAAAACGUUGCUUCGGCGGGAACAGACGGCCCUGUAACAACGGGCCGCCCCCGCCAGAGGACCCCUAACUCUGUUUUUAUAAUGUUUUUCUGAGUAAACAAGCAAAUAAAUUAAAACUUUCAACAACGGAUCUCUUGGCUCUGGCAUCGAUGAAGAACGCAGCGAAAUGCGAUAAGUAAUGUGAAUUGCAGAAUUCAGUGAAUCAUCGAAUCUUUGAACGCACAUUGCGCCCGCCAGUAUUCUGGCGGGCAUGCCUGUUCGAGCGUCAUUACAACCCUCAGGCCCCCGGGCCUGGCGUUGGGGAUCGGCGGAAGCCCCCUGUGGGCACACGCCGUCCCUCAAAUACAGUGGCGGUCCCGCCGCAGCUUCCAUUGCGUAGUAGCUAACACCUCGCAACUGGAGAGCGGCGCGGCCAUGCCGUAAAACACCCAACUUCUGAAUGUUGACCUCGAAUCAGGUAGGAAUACCCGCUGAACUUAAGCAUAUCAAUAA
This 503-nucleotide ribosomal RNA is filed under the name Mucor sp. Y148. RNAcentral describes it as "eukaryotic LSU rRNA". The stretch from base 126 to 279 matches the Rfam family "5.8S ribosomal RNA". The record is from RNAcentral. Lineage: Eukaryota; Fungi; Mucoromycota; Mucoromycetes; Mucorales; Mucoraceae.